UAAAGUAGAUCCACCAUCUCUGGUGUCAGCGCUCUUUCCAGAGCAGGAAGCCAUCAAGAGUUGCAGAGUCCCAACUAACACCUAUGCUGUGAGAGAGGGAGCGAGUUGCAGAGUUAGGCAAUUUUCUUGCUCGAAUUUCUCUUUUGCUUGAUGAUGGCUGUGAAAAAAGAUGGAAAAGACUUAGAGGGACAGAUAGGGAUUUCAAAAAGGGUAUGUCCUCAACACGAUAGGAAUUCUAAUUAAAAAUAAGAUGGAUUGAAGAAGAUUUGUGUUUGAAAAAAUUAAGGAGGAAAGUGCUCAAAACAUAAAAAUCAAAGACGAAAAAUAAAAACAAUGCGCAAUUAGGGAUUGACAAAUGACAGGUGAUUAAGGGAAAAAAAUAAAAGAAAAAAACUAAUGGCAGGUGAUUGAAAGACCUGGUUUUAUUAUUUUUAGUAUAAUCUCUACUUUACCCUCAUCAUUUUGCGUUUCAGCUUUAGUAGCUUUUGCACCUUUUUU
This 498-nucleotide unclassified non-coding RNA is filed under the name Hevea brasiliensis (rubber tree). Lineage: Eukaryota; Viridiplantae; Streptophyta; Magnoliopsida; Malpighiales; Euphorbiaceae. The record is from RNAcentral.